AGACAGAUGGUAAGGUAAUAGCGAGAGUAGCAUUCACACACCUAGGGGUUACCAAAUCAUACGAUUCAGUACCUGGGUUAGCGUUGUACAGAAUCAUACCGAGUAGCGGUAAAACAAAUGGAAAAAGGGUAGGCAUACAAGCAAACACUAGCAAUAAAAUCAUACGAGCUGGUACGUAAGAUAGUAUUAACGCUAAAUAUACAUAAGAGAAGCAUUUUUAUAAAAGUCAGAGCUGAACAAAUAUGUUCGAUCGAACCUAAGUUAGCAUACAGAUGUGUAAGAAUAUCGUCAUAAUACAUAUGUAAGUGAAUAUAGUCUAAAACAUGUAAUGGGACAGCGAUGGUGAUCGCAACUAUAAAAGAGCGUUUCGCACCACGCUCAGUCUUUCAGUUGUGUGGUAGCAACCAAGCAAACUCGCGCUACGGAAACGUGGAAAAGUAAAUAUAAUAAUAAUCGUUCAAAUAAGAAAUAUUAAAACGUUAAGGUCGGAUCACCACGCUGGUUUUUUUUCUCCUACUCCUCUUAAGAUCGCUGAUCAUUGUAAUAAUAAAUAGAAACAUAAGAACAAAACCGAAGGUCCAAGUUAUUUUUAUACUAUAAAUUUUCUUGGAAAGAGUCCUGGAUUAGCUGAGUAUACCCUGCCCAAGACGACUCGUUACAGGGUAAUGUAUUUAAAAACAAACGUGUGGUUGUGGAUUCCAUGUGCAGAAAAGCAAGGCUGAAAAGCAAUGCAGUGAAAUGUUUGCUGACCGGGCUACAAGGCAAAACGUACCUGAAGCGGGUAAAGGGACUGACGCUUUUCGUUGUCCCAUCGCUAAUAAAAGCAAAAGAAAUUUUGAGUCUGCUUUUAAAAGAAGUGGCCGCUCAAGCAACUAUUUAACACAUUCGAGUUCUUUUGUAGCAACACAAAAAAUUAUAUAUAUAUCCUAUCUGGUUAUGGCAAAAAUAGUUAAACAAUGUAUGAAAAAGACAUACCCUUCUGGCUAUUUUCAUAAGUUCACUAGUUCGAAGUUGAGCUUGGUCAUCGGUUUAAUAAAUUAUUUUAGCGCUCUCUCUCUCUUCUGACAUGUGUUUUUGAAGAAGCAAGCGUUAGAGACUCAAUAAGGCAUAUAUCCAGCAUCAAACAAUGAAUCGACUUCAGCAAACUCCAUAGUAGCAAAUAAAUUUCUGGCCGCAAAAGCGACUCCGUCUUCAAAAUUCGCAAACGCAUUGGAUCUUGGUACACGCAUGUGGAAAGUGGGCCACAUCCGCCAAAUGACGCGUUUACUGUGCAAUAUAAAUUAAGAACAUAGGAAGCUUUCAAAAUUAAACAUGGGUGGAGCAGUGAAUAUUUAAAUAUUCCAUUUUGCCGUAAAGGCGAUAGAAUGAAAAAUACUCGGCCUAAGGCGAAAUUCGAGUAAACGUAAUCUUCUUGCUUCUAAUUUGAAAAAAAGACUGGCAAUUUUUUAUCUGGAUAAUUCAUAAUAAUUUAUAUAUGUAUAUAUUGUUGUUUUCUUAAUUCGUAAUUAUUUAUUAAUUAACUUAUUUCUUGUUGUCUCUAACAAUCUUAAAAUUGCUUUGACUGCUUUUAGAAUAUUUUUACAUAGAAAUUAUUUCGAUUGAAGCUACUUUAAACCCUUCUCGAUGGUUUUUGUAACAAGAGACGCGUUCUUUGCUUUUCUUUAGAUAUACCUUUUUAUAUACGUUUGCAUGUAUAUAUAUAAACAAAACUAAAUAGUAGAUUGUAUGUUUUGAAUUGUUGUUUUAUAUUAUUGCUGUCGACUUGUUUGUUUAGAAUUCUCUUUUAAUUUCCUUUUUUUAAAUAUAAUAUUUGUAAAAGACAUCAAUUUAAGCUAAUUUAUAUUGAUUACACUUCCGUAA
Molecule: long non-coding RNA, 1860 nt
Organism: Glossina fuscipes
Lineage: Eukaryota; Metazoa; Arthropoda; Insecta; Diptera; Glossinidae
Exons: 2
Source: RefSeq, a predicted model, not a curated record